GGGCCCGCACAAGCAGUGGAGCAUGUGGUUUAAUUCGAUGCAACGCGAAGAACCUUACCAGGGUUUGACAUCCUGCGAAUCUCUUGGAAACGAGAGAGUGCCUUCGGGAACGCAGUGACAGGUGGUGCAUGGCUGUCGUCAGCUCGUGUCGUGAGAUGUUGGUUAAGUCCCGCAACGAGCGCAACCCACGUCGUUAGUUGCCAGCAUUUUAGUUGGGGCACUCUAGCGAGACCCGCCGGUGAUAAACCGGAGGAAGGUGUGGAUGACGUCAAGUCAUCAUGCCCCUUACAUCCUGGGCUACACACGUACUACAAUGGUAGGUACAGAGAGCAGCCAAUGCGCGAGCAUGAG
Molecule: ribosomal RNA, 351 nt
Filed under: uncultured bacterium
Lineage: Bacteria
Description: bacterial SSU rRNA
Rfam family: Bacterial small subunit ribosomal RNA
Source: RNAcentral